This is a long non-coding RNA of Leopardus geoffroyi (Geoffroy's cat), 414 nucleotides long. RefSeq lists it as uncharacterized. The transcript is spliced from 3 exons. The record is from RefSeq and is a predicted model, not a curated record. Lineage: Eukaryota; Metazoa; Chordata; Mammalia; Carnivora; Felidae.
CUGGAAGUUAUCCCAGAGUCUGGCAGCCAUUGCUGGGCCACAGAAUAACAACAUGUAGAAAGUGCUAAUAGUUCCUCCAAGGAGAGGGAACAUAACAUUGGACAGAGACUCUGGUGUUCAAAUCAGGUCAGAACAACAUGGAUUCAAGCCCCAAUCUGAUGUUUCCCAGUCAAAUUGAACUGAGGAUACGAAUCACAUUGUUCUCUCCUACCUCCACUAUGGGACAAUAUGGAGAAGACAAGCAGGGAAAGACCUUUCUAGAAUCCAGUCACUAUAAAAAUAGGCAGAUUAAACCAUUUGAAAAAUGAAACAUUUAAUCAAGUCAUCUGCUUCAUAGGAAACAUGGUAUCAAAUACCCUGUUCUGAUUCAUUCUGUUCCAGAGAGAAAUAAAAAUUAUUUACGUGUUUUAUUCA